This is a non-coding RNA of Vicia faba (fava bean), 491 nucleotides long. The record is from the annotation of a GenBank genome assembly. Lineage: Eukaryota; Viridiplantae; Streptophyta; Magnoliopsida; Fabales; Fabaceae.
AUGUCAUCUUUACAGAUGACCCAUGUUGAUUUAGAGCAAGGAAAUCAUCAACAUCGUCGUCAUCAUCAACAUCAUCAUAAUCCUAGUUGUUCUGUUGUUGGAAGUGAUGUGAGUGGUGAAGGGAGUUUGUGUUUCUCUGAUGCUGAUGAUGGUUCAAGCUAUUCUCGAUUCUAUUCAACGAAUGGUGGUUCUUAUGAUGAUUACUCUUUUGCUUGUGUUUCUGAUGAUCCUGAGCUUGGAUGUGGUGGUGUUGGUGGUUCUGCUAGAGUUUCUUCUGUCACUGAUUGUUCUGUUGAAAUUAGAAUUGGGGUUCCUGAGAUUAAGGUGCAUUUGGUUAAAGUUGAGAAAGAUUGUAGGAUUUGUCACAUGGGUUUGGAAAGUGAGAGUCAUGAAUCUGGUUCUCCUAUUGAAUUGGGUUGUUCUUGUAAAGAGGAUUUGGCUGCUGCUCAUAAAAACUGUGCUGAAGCUUGGUUCAAGAUUAAGGGAAAUAG